AGUGAACGCUGGCGGUAGGCCUAACACAUGCAAGUCGAACGGCAGCACAGUAAGAGCUUGCUCUUACGGGUGGCGAGUGGCGGACGGGUGAGGAAUACAUCGGAAUCUACUUUUUCUUGGGGGAUAACGUAGGGAAACUUACGCUACUACCGCAUACGACCUACGGGUGAAAGCAGGGGAUCUUCGGACCUUGCGUGCUUUAAUGAGCCGAUUUCGGAUUAGCUAGUUGGCGGGGUAAAGGCCCACCAAGGCGACGAUCCUUUGCUGGUCUGAGAGGAUGAUCAGCCACACUGGAACGGAGACACGGUCCAGACUCCUACGGGAGGAAGCAGUGGGGAAUAUUGGACAAUGGGCGCAAGCCUGAUCCAGCCAUACCGCGUGGGUGAAGAAGGCCUUCGGGUUGUAAAGCCCUUUUGUUGGGAAAGAAAAGCAGCAGGUUAAUACCCCGCUGUUCUGACGGUACCCAAAGAAUAAGCACCGGCUAACUUCGUG
RNAcentral lists this ribosomal RNA (492 nucleotides) under uncultured bacterium. RNAcentral describes it as "partial 16S ribosomal RNA". It matches the Rfam family "Bacterial small subunit ribosomal RNA", at positions 29 to 507 of the family's 1533-position model. The record is from RNAcentral.